This 442-nucleotide ribosomal RNA is filed under the name uncultured bacterium. RNAcentral's name for it is "partial 16S ribosomal RNA". It matches the Rfam family "Bacterial small subunit ribosomal RNA", at positions 338 to 795 of the family's 1533-position model. The record is from RNAcentral.
CCUACGGGAGGCAGCAGUGGGGAAUAUUGGGCAAUGGGCGCAAGCCUGACCCAGCAACGCCGCGUGAAGGAAGAAGGCUUUCGGGUUGUAGACUUCUUUUAAGAGGGAAGAGCAGAAGACGGUACCUCUUGAAUAAGCCACGGCUAACUACGUGCCAGCAGCCGCGGUAAUACGUAGGUGGCAAGCGUUGUCCGGAUUUACUGGGUGUAAAGGGCGUUCAGCCGGGAAGACAAGUCAGAUGUGAAAUCCCGCGGCUCAACCGCGGAACUGCAUUUGAAACUGUUUUUCUUGAGUACCGGAGAGGUCAUCGGAAUUCCUUGUGUAGCGGUGAAAUGCGUAGAUAUAAGGAAGAACACCAGUGGCGAAGGCAGAUGACUGGACGGCAACUGACGGUGAGGCGCGAAAGCGUGGGGAGCAAACAGGAUUAGAUACCCGAGUAGUC